AGAGAGAUAGAAGAAAGAAGGGGGGAAGAGGUGGAAAGUAGAGGGAAGAAGGAAAGCAGGAAGAAAAGGAUGAAAUAAACGAACGACGAUGGGAAGGACUUAGAAAAAAUAAACCACGCAGAGAGCUUGGACGACCACUGUGAUGCAAAAUAUGCAUGCCUGACCUGACCAAUAGCCUAAUGCCCAGAUUACCUGAGCCUUUGCCAACACUGACUUCUAUUCUACCUAAACCUGAACGUUUAUUGCACUGCUCUCUUCCUUAAUUAGUUGCCGCGACACCGGUCUAAACUGCCCUUCGAUGAAGGGUCAGGAACGACAGAAACAAGGAACGUUGAGUUGUGUUUCUUCCAAAUCAAAAUGUUUCUAAAAAGAACUCCU
Non-coding RNA from Paramuricea clavata, 378 nucleotides. The record is from the annotation of a GenBank genome assembly. Lineage: Eukaryota; Metazoa; Cnidaria; Anthozoa; Malacalcyonacea; Plexauridae.